RNAcentral lists this ribosomal RNA (421 nucleotides) under uncultured Methanofollis sp. Its description in RNAcentral is "bacterial SSU rRNA". It matches the Rfam family "Archaeal small subunit ribosomal RNA", at positions 322 to 747 of the family's 1478-position model. The record is from RNAcentral. Lineage: Archaea; Methanobacteriati; Methanobacteriota; Methanomicrobia; Methanomicrobiales; Methanomicrobiaceae.
CCUAUGGGGGGCAGCAGGCGCGAAAACUUUACAAUGCAGGAAACUGUGAUAAGGGAACCCCGAGUGCCUGUAUGGACAGGCUGUUCAGGUGCGCAAAAAACACCUGGAGAAAGGGCCGGGCAAGACCGGUGCCAGCCGCCGCGGUAAUACCGGCGGCUCGAGUGGUGGCCACUAUUACUGGGCUUAAAGCGUCCGUAGCUGGGUAGUUAAGUCUCUGGGGAAAUCUUUCGGCUCAACCGAAAGGCGUCUCAGGGAUACUGGCUACCUUGGGAUCGGGAGAGGUGAGAGGUACUCUGGGGGUAGGAGUGAAAUCCUGUUAUCCUCAGGGGACCACCUGUGGCGAAGGCGUCUCACCAGAACGACUCCGACAGUGAGGGACGAAAGCUGGGGGAGCAAACCGGAUUAGAUACCCCCGUAGUCC